AUACGGAGGGUGCAAGCGUUACUCGGAAUCACUGGGCGUAAAGCGCGCGCAGGCGGCUUGAUAAGUUGGAUGUGAAAGCCUACGGCUCAACCGUAGAACUGCAUCCAAAACUGUCAGGCUAGAGUGUGGGAGAGGAAGAUGGAAUUAGUUGUGUAGGGGUAAAAUCCGUAGAGAUACCUACGAAUACCAAAAGCGAAGGCAAUCUUCUGGAACACUACUGACGCUGAGGCGCGAAGGCGUGGGGAGCAAACAGGAUUAGAAACCCCAGUAGUCC
RNAcentral lists this ribosomal RNA (274 nucleotides) under uncultured bacterium. RNAcentral describes it as "partial 16S ribosomal RNA". It matches the Rfam family "Bacterial small subunit ribosomal RNA", at positions 523 to 796 of the family's 1533-position model. The record is from RNAcentral.